UACAUUUUUUAAAUUAUAUAUUUUCUAAGAAAUCUCAACUCAUAUGUGUUUGUUUCCAUACCUAAUGUGAAUCCUUCAAUUCUCUAAAAAAAAAAAAAUAAACAAAAAUAAAAAAGAAGUUUUAGUGGAGAAAAACAUAAGGAUUAGCACAAGCAACAGAAGGAGAAAACUAGAAAAGGUAUUUACAAUUAAGAAAAUAUAUUGAAUCACACACUCUGAGAUUGUGGCUUCAUUUAAGUUAAAAACUCUAGGUGGGGUUGCAAAUAUUCCUACAGGUCCUCUUUCAUUUCUUAUUUUUCUCUGCAAGGAAGAGAAACUCCAGACUCCAAAAUUAUCAGAGAUCUGGGAUGGAGAAAAUAAAAGCAGAGUUCUGUGACCAAUUCUGCCUCUGACUGACUGUGAUUUUAAUGGUGUUUUAGCUUCUCCAUCUCCACUGUGAGGCUGUAAUUGCCUAGAGAUCUGGGUGGGUCCUCCACGGAAAGGUUUUAAGACAGCUACAAUUAGCUGUAAGUUAUCUUGACUUUUAAGAGAAAGAUUUCAGACUCUGUGGCUUAAGGGUUGUCUUUUUCCACCUUGCUUUGCCUCCAUGUUUCCUCAUAUGGCAGGAGGAAUAACAAAUACAGAAAGGACAGCUCUAGUUCCUUAAUCUUUUCUGCUUGUGACCAGAAUACUCUGUGCUGUUAACAUUUCACUUCUCAAUUUAUAAAAGGUCAUAAUAUUGUGUUGGUUCUGUGUGGUCUUAUUUUAGUAUUUUGUCUUAUUUUAUUGGGAAAAAAUGCAAAGAAUUAGCAUAGCAGAUUAUGGGGAAUUUUAUCUUUAUUAAUUGUUGAACUUGCCCUCUUCUCCUAGUUUCUUUAUCAUUGUGGACUGACGUUUUUGCAAAGUUCAUUUUCAGUUUCUAUUUUAUUUUUCCAGUGUUGGGGAAAGGUCUCAAGUAAGACAGAGAAGGCAGAAAUUCACCAGCAAAUCCAAACUGGGGAAAUCCCAGAGUUGAAGACAAGAAACUUAAGAAAACCUUACAAAAAGAAACAUGCUUGGGGCUACUCUUGUUUGCUGGUAGAAUGAUCUGUAGAAAAUUCUGAGAUAAGGUGUUAAAAGUAAGAAAAUGCAGGCAUAAUUAUGAUCAGACUGUCAACUUUCCCCUUGUCUAAUGGGAGCCAAAGAAUGAUGUUUUAAUGCUCAGCUUCUAGAUGAAAUAUGUAUUAGCAAACUAUUCUAGGCCUUUAUAUUCCUUUAUUUUUGUUUUCAAAAAUUCCCAUGACAAUAUUCUGGCAUCCAUGCCACAUGAGGAUACAUUUCGUGCCAAAACAAGCUUAGGAAAUCUGCAGUUUAAAGGAGGAAGGUAUGCUGCAGCUGAGAGCAGACGCUUCUAAGGCAUCUUGGGAAGGUUGCAUCUGCAGUCUCAAGAAAUAUUAAAACCUAUUUUAAUGUAGGCAUUGUUCCUGAGAGUAGCUUCAAUAAGCCACGUGGAUGCAAUUAUCCAGCUCAGGGGUUGUUUCUUAUGGAAUCCAACCUAUGACUGUUGACGCCAGGAGUGGUCCUGGGAAGGAGACUCUGAAAAUUUUGGAGCUGGCUGGGAAUAAGAGUCCUGUUGCUGUUGAUAUCUGAGAGCAACCUUCUGCCAGGAUUUGCCCUGCCCACAGGCGUUAGCAUGGACUUGAUGACUGCGGUGUGGCUUUUACUUUCUCAAUUUUCCAGAGCUCAUACUCCUCAAACUCCAGAGGAAUAAGAUGGCCAGCAGUCAGGAAGGAGAUUUGAAUGUGGAGCACAGCAGAGUGAGCACGAGCUGAAACCCUCCAAGCAUAUUUUCAUCACUGUAUUGCCUGUGAACAUCUUCAGAGUGUGAUGACUCCUACUUCCUCUGAAUCUCAUUUCUUUUUCUCUGGAAAUGUCUACUGAAUACAGAAAUGAACACACUGAAAUAUUUUCAUGCAUUGCCUCAGAGGAAGGGUGACCGAAGGAGAGCUCGAGAAACGGAAAGAGAAUGAGAACAGAGAGAGAUAAAGAAAAGCAUACAAAAUAUUUAUUGCUGCAUUUCCGUGCCUUCUCCACAAUAUUGAGGCCUGAAUUAGGUAGGUAGUUGAAAUCUCUCUAAAAGUGAGUCAGAUAUUGUGUCCGGAAUUGGUGGGUUCUUGAUCGCACUGACUUCAAGAAUGAAGCCGUGGACCCUCGCGGUGAGUGUUACAGCUCUUAAGGUGGCGCGUCUGGAGUCUGCCCCUUCUGAUGUUCAGAUGUGUUCGGAGUUUCUUUCUUCUGGUGGGUUCGUGGUCUCUCUGGCUCAGGAGUGAAGCUGCAGAUCUUCGCGGGGUACUCAGGACUUUGAAUGCAUAGGCUCAGUUCUGCUGUGCACUUUCUACACAAAUCCUGACCAAGCCUGAGAUAGGGGAAGACUCUGUUGUUCAAACCUGUAGCCACUGGAUCACAUCAUGUUCAGACAGAGCUCACUGAAAUCAUAGCACAGGCCCUUCCUUGAGAAAGGGCUACUGAUCUACCUCUCCGAGCAACUGCUUGUAAAGACAAACUGAAUUGAAUGGGCAAGUGAUUUUCAAACCAGUUACGGAUAUUACAUAACAGCUUCUCAUGCACAUGGGAGACAGAGUCUCACUCUGUCACCAGGCUGGAGUAUAGUGGCAUGAUCUCGGCUCACA
Molecule: long non-coding RNA, 2648 nt
Filed under: Homo sapiens (human)
Lineage: Eukaryota; Metazoa; Chordata; Mammalia; Primates; Hominidae
Description: HSALNT0315450
Source: RNAcentral